RNAcentral lists this ribosomal RNA (2919 nucleotides) under Adhaeretor mobilis. Its description in RNAcentral is "Planctomycetes bacterium HG15A2 23S ribosomal RNA". It matches the Rfam family "Bacterial large subunit ribosomal RNA". Lineage: Bacteria; Pseudomonadati; Planctomycetota; Planctomycetia; Pirellulales; Lacipirellulaceae. The record is from RNAcentral.
UCAAGCUAUGAAGGGCGUAUGGGGGAUGUCUUGGCAUCAGAAGGCGAUGAAGGGCGUGGAAGUCUGCGAAAAGCUCGGGGGAGUUGACAAACAAAUGAUGAUCCCGAGAUUCCUGAAUUGACGCAUUGUGAAUAAAUAACUUUGCGUGGCUAACGUGGGGAACUGAAACAUCUAAGUACCCACAGGAAUAGAAAGAAAAAUCGAUUACGUCAGUAGCGGCGAGCGAACGCGUAAUAGCCCAAACCGCGGGGGUUUCCCCUGCGGGGUUGUAGGGCUCUUCACAUGGGAGUCAUAAACUUGCUCAUUAAUAGAAUGGUCUGGAAAGGCCAACCACAGAGGGUGACAGUCCCGUACAUGAAAGUGAGCAAACUCCCGAGGAGUACCUGAGUAGGUCGGGCCACGUGGAAUCCCGACUGAAUCUACGAGGACCAUCUCGUAAGGCUAAAUACUCUCUGAUGACCGAUAGCAAACUCAGUAUGGUGACUGAAAGAUGAGAAGAACCCCUGUUAGGGGAGGAAUGUGAACCUGAAACCAUACGCCUACAAGCGGUCGGAGCACUAUGCCCUUCGGGGAAUGUGUGACGGCGUGCCUUUUGCAUAAUGAUCCGGCGAGUUACCGUGUGCGGCUCGGUUAAGGACUUACGGUCCGAAGCCUCAGGGAAACCGAGUCUGAAUAGGGCGACAAUUGGUCGUACGUGGUAGACGCGAAACCAGGUGAACUACCCAUGAGCAGGUUGAAGCGCGGGUUAAACUGCGUGGAGGACCGAACCCACUUAGGUUGAAAACUGAGGGGAUGACUUGUGGGGAGGAGUGAAAGUCUAAUCAAACCUGGAGAUAGCUCGUUCUCUCCGAAAUAGCUUUAGGGCUAGCCUUGAGCAACUAUGUAGCGGGGGUAGAGAGACUGAUUUGGUUUGGGGCCCUUCCCGGGGUACCCUGCUGAGCCAAACUCCGAAUACCGUUGCAACUAUCUCAGGAGUCAGUCCGCGGGGGAUAAGCUUCGCGGUCGAGAGGGAAACAACCCAGACUAUCUGCUAAGGUCCCGAAGUCAUACUCAGUCACUAAGGAAGUUGAAUUGCUGAGACAACCAGGAUGUUGGCUUAGAAGCAGCCACCAUUUAAAAAGUGCGUAACAGCUUACUGGUCGAGCAAUUCUGCGCCGAUAAUGAACGGGAGUAAGUAUGACACCGAAGCAGUAGAUUCAGUGAUCCUUCGGGUGAUCUGAGUGGUAGGAGAGCGCUGUACAUCAGAUACAAGGCGUACCGUAAGGAGCGCUGUCGGGGUGUACAGGUGAUUAUGCCGGAAUGAGUAACGAUAAGGCAGGUGAGAAUCCUGCCCGCCGAAAGCCUAAGGUUUCCUGGGGAAGGUAAUUCCGCCCAGGGUUAGCCGGUACCUAAGUCGAGGCCGAAAGGCGUAGACGAUGGAUAGCAGGUCAACAUUCCUGCGCUACUAAUGUGGACCGAUGGAGGGACGGCGUUUGAAUGGUGAGGGGACGACUAGAAAUGUCCCUCGACGGGUGAGGCCUAGAGCAUAGUUAAAUGCGUGCUCGUUCCGGCCGAUCCCGGACAACCUCAUUUAUGUUGGGUAUGUCAUCUGAAGAACGUCCAAGAAAAGCUUCUAAGGGUUGAAGCAUUGGUAACCGUACUAAAACUGACACAGGUAGGCGAGACGAGUAGUCUAAGGCGCUCGGGAGAACACUGGUUAAGGAACUCUGCAAAAUGAUCCCGUAAGUUCGCGAUAAGGGAUGCCCCUGGUGGUUUACGCUGCUGGGGGCCACAGUAAAUCGAUUUCUCCGACUGUUUAUCAAAAACACAGGUCUCUGCUAACACGUAAGUGGAUGUAUAGAGACUGACGCCUGCCCGGUGCUGGUAGGUUAAGGUAAGAGGUUAGUUAUUUAUAACGAAGCUUUUGACCGAAGCCCCAGUAAACGGCGGCCGUAACUAUGACGGUCCUAAGGUAGCGAAGUUCCUUGUCGGGUAAGUUCCGACCUGCAUGAAAGGCGUAACGAGAGAAAUACUGUCUCAACCAGUGACCCGGUGAAAUUGUAGUCGUGGUGAAGAUGCCACGUUCCCGCAGCUAGACGGAAAGACCCCGUGAACCUUUACUGUAGGCUGAUAUUGGGCUGUGCUAUGUACUGUGUAGGAUAGGUGGGAGGCUUUGAACUCCGGUCGCCAGAUCGGAGGGAGCCAUUGGUGAAAUACCACCCUGUUCAUGGUUUAGUUCUAACUUUGAUUCCCGUGAAACCGGGCAAAGGACAGUGUCAGUUGGGCAGUUUGACUGGGGCGGUCUCCUCCUAAAGAGUAACGGAGGAGUCCAAUAGGCGCACUCAGCCUGGUUGGCAAUCAGGCAUCGAGCAUAAAGGUAGAAGUGCGCUAGACUGCAAGACUUAUCAGUCGAGCAGGUGUGAAAGCAGGGCUUAGUGAUCCGGUGGUUCCGUAUGGAAGGGCCAUCGCUCAACAGAUAAAAGGUACUCCGGGGAUAACAGGCUUAUCGCUCCCGAGCGUCCAUAGCGGCGGAGCGGUUUGGCACCUCGAUGUCGGCUCAUCACAUCCUGGGGGUGGAGAAGCUCCCAAGGGUUUGGCUGUUCGCCAAUGAAAGUGGUACGUGAGCUGGGUUCAGACCGUCGUGAGACAGGUCGGUCCCUAUCUACUGUGGGCGCACGAAACUUGAAGAGGUUCUUCUUUAGUACGAGAGGAUUUAGAAGGACGACCCUCUGGUGUUCCUGUUGUCGCGCUAGCGGCACGGCAGGGUAGCUAAGGUCGGAACGGAUAAACGCUGAAAGCAUAUAAGCGUGAAGCCCGCUCUGAGAUUAGGUUUCGUAACCCAAUGGGUGAGAGUCCCCUGGAAGACGACCAGGUUGAUAGGCCGGAUGUGUAAGUACAGCAAUGUAUUCAGCUAACCGGUACUAAUGGACGAACGCUUGA